This is a long non-coding RNA of Patella vulgata (common limpet), 1550 nucleotides long. RefSeq lists it as uncharacterized. The record is from RefSeq and is a predicted model, not a curated record. The transcript is spliced from 4 exons. Lineage: Eukaryota; Metazoa; Mollusca; Gastropoda; Patellidae.
UAUCCGCUGAUUGGUAUAAUUCAAGCAUGUGAUACGCGAAUAUGGUUCAUUGACAUCACUCCAUAAGUCAAACAACUCAACCUUGACACACGCCACAACAACGACAGACAACGGCCAUAUUUAAAUCUCUGCUUUCCCGCUCCAAGUUGAAUUGGAACAGAGCAGACCAACAUCACAAGAUCAAGCCAUUCGGAAAGAGUUUUGAAGAGCAGAAUCUCAAGAAUCUUCAUAAUAAUUCGUUUUAGAAGUAGCUAUCCGUUCACCAUGUUGAGUAUAUUUGAUGUCGUAAUGUCUCCAUGUAAAACCAUAAUCCAGAAAGCACGUGAGGUAUGGCCGGAAGUUUAUAUCCUAUGGUUUGCUAUGGUUGGUCAGAUUGUAAGCCUCGCCACACCCUAUUGGUCCAUAACAUCGUCUGGUUAUUCUGGUCUGUGGAAAGAAUGUAGGGCUGGAGAAUGUAUCGGUGUUUUUGAAUAUGGCGAUCCAAGUCAUUGGUUACGGUGUGUCCAGAUUGUCGUCUGCUUGUCGUUACCUUUGACCCUACUAUCCGCCAUCUUUCUUCUGCUAGCAUCAACAAGAACCAACACAAACUGUUCAACACCUGGUGGUUUCGCAAGCCUAACAGCUGGUUGCAUGCUGUUGCUGGGUGGUGGUUUCUAUGGCUACCAGCAGAAUGAUGCUUCAGCUAUUGGUUGGAGUCUUCUGGUGAGCGUUAUAAGUGGCUGUAUGUGUGUCUUCUGUAGUACCCGGAUGAUAAUAAACUGCAUCAAACGCGAGGACGAAAUCGAGGUACAGAAAGUGUUUAAACCUGGGCCAACCAAUUUAUAGAAUUUGCGCAACAACGCCCGUUUAUAGUUGAACGAACUGCAUAAUUUACGAAACGGCGUCUGUGUAAACCUGGAUUACGAAACGGAGUCUCUGUAAAUGUGGUAUAGUAAUUUAUAUAAAUUACGAAACUACCACUUUUAAAACUUAUUAAUAAAAUCUGCGAAACUAGAUUUGUGCAAAGUCCUUAAUUGGGCGGGAAAACUGAGAUGUGAAGAUUUUAUGACAUAUUUAUACAAAUAUUUUAAUAUACUUUAAAUAUAUACAUUAUAUAGGCUCUUUUACUUUUAGUCUCGAUUGCUCCAGGCAAUUAUCUGCUCUUCCACUGCAACCGUUACGUUCUAGGCAAAUGGUGCCAAUUUAAAUAUGGUUUUUCUAUAUUCAUGUACGUCUUACGAUUAGUUGACCCCCACCCUGUUAUCUGAACUGAAGUAUGCAGAAUGUAUUAGUGACUGGACUGAGACACGGCUUGAACUGUAUACUUCGGAACAGCCAGACGCUCAGUUAUCAUAUACGCAACUGGUGCUAAUUGGCCAGGUCAAUCAGUGUUCGUUGUAGUGGAAGCAGGGACAAUUGCUCUGAAGCAAUAUUGACAUCGAAUUCCAAUCAUUCAAUUGACUGCUCUUUAGUCGGUUGAUAUAGAAUUUUAAUAUUUUAAGCUGUUCAAAUUACGUCUAGACAUAUAUUUUAUUUUCCAUAGAAUUUUAUAUUAAAUUUGUUAUUAAAAA